AGCCACAGCCAUAUCACCCUGCAGCCCAAGAGCGGUUACUCACUAAAGAUAAGCAGGGCUGAGCCUGGUUAGUACCUGGAUGGGAGACCACCAGUGAACACCUGGUUGCUGUUGGAA
Molecule: ribosomal RNA, 117 nt
Organism: Danio rerio (zebrafish)
Lineage: Eukaryota; Metazoa; Chordata; Actinopteri; Cypriniformes; Danionidae
Source: Ensembl